AGUUGGUGGUGAAAUCCCAGAGCUUAACUCUGGAACUGCCAUCAAAACUUUUCAGCUAGAGUAUGAUAGAGGAAAGCAGAAUUUCUAGUGUAGAGGUGAAAUUCGUAGAUAUUAGAAAGAAUACCGAUUGCGAAGGCAGCUUUCUGGAUCAUUACUGACACUGAGGAACGAAAGCAUGGGUAGCGAAGAGGAUUAGAUACCCUCGUAGUCCAUGCCGUAAACGAUGUGUGUUAGACGUUGGAAAUUUAUUUUCAGUGUCGCAGCGAAAGCGAUAAACACACCGCCUGGGGAGUACGACCGCAAGGUUAAAACUCAAAUGAAUUGACGGGGACCCGCACAAGUAGUGGAGCAUGUGGUUUAAUUCGAAGAUACGCGCAGAACCUUACCAACACUUGACAUGUUCGUCGCGACUCUAAGAGAUUAGAGUUUUCGGUUCGGCCGGACGAAACACAGGUGCUGCAUGGCUGUCGUCAGCUCGUGUCGUGAGAUGUUGGGUUAAGUCCCGCAACGAGCGCAACCCUCACUUUUAGUUGCCAUCAUUAAGUUGGGCACUCUGAAAGAACUGCCAGUGAUAAGCUGGAGGAAGGUGGGGAUGACGUCAAGUCCUCAUGGCCCUUACGUGUUGGGCUACACACGUGCUACAAUGGUAUCUACAACAGGAAGCAAAACUGCGAGGUUAAGCAAAUCCCUAAAAGAUACCUCAGUUCGGAUUGCACUCUGCAACUCGAGUGCAUGAAGCUGGAAUUACUAGUAAUCGUGGAUCAGCGUGCCACGGUGAAUGCGUUCCCGGGUCUUGUACACACCGCCCGUCACACCAUGGGAGUUGGUUCUACCUUAAGGCAAGGUUUAAAACCCUGAC
This 859-nucleotide ribosomal RNA is filed under the name marine metagenome. RNAcentral's name for it is "bacterial SSU rRNA". It matches the Rfam family "Bacterial small subunit ribosomal RNA", at positions 586 to 1445 of the family's 1533-position model. The record is from RNAcentral.